Molecule: ribosomal RNA, 373 nt
Filed under: uncultured bacterium
Lineage: Bacteria
Description: bacterial SSU rRNA
Rfam family: Bacterial small subunit ribosomal RNA
Source: RNAcentral
GUAGGGUGCGAGCGUUGUCCGGAAUUAUUGGGCGUAAAGAGCUCGUAGGCGGUUUGUCGCGUCGGCCGUGAAAACUUGGGGCUUAACCCCGAGCCUGCGGUCGAUACGGGCAGACUUGAGUUCGGCAGGGGAGACUGGAAUUCCUGGUGUAGCGGUGAAAUGCGCAGAUAUCAGGAGGAACACCGGUGGCGAAGGCGGGUCUCUGGGCCGAUACUGACGCUGAGGAGCGAAAGCGUGGGGAGCGAACAGGAUUAGAUACCCUGGUAGUCCACGCCGUAAACGGUGGGUGCUAGGUGUGGGGGACUUCCACGUUCUCCGUGCCGCAGCUAACGCAUUAAGCACCCCGCCUGGGGAGUACGGCCGCAAGGCUAAA